CUGUUAAGACUAAGCCAUGCACGUCUAAGUACAAACUAAAUGAUGGUGAAACUGCAAAUGGCUCAUUACAACGGUUAUGAUGUACCCGGGAGUUCCGAUGGAUAUUUCCAGUAACACUAGAACUAAUACAUGUCCCUGCGUUUAUUAGUUUCGCACAGUCCGUCGCUGAGUCAUGGUAAACAGUUGAUCGACUCGACGUCCCGGAACAGUUUCCGCCCCAUCAGCUUCGAUGGUUGGGUAUUGGCCUACCAUUGCAACAACGGGUAACGAGGAAUUAGGGUUUGAUUUCGGAGAGGGAGCCUGAGAAACGGCUACCACAUCUACGGAUGGCAGCAGGCGCGCAAAUUACCCAAUGCAGACACUGUGAGGUAGUGACGAGAAAUAAUAAAGCGGGACUUCUGUUUCGCUAUUAUAAUGAGGAAUAACCAAAGGUCAUUCCGAUUAGCAACUGAUGGGAAAGUCUGGUGCCAGCAGCCGCGGUAAUACCAGCGUCAGUAGCA
This 500-nucleotide ribosomal RNA is filed under the name uncultured Myrionecta. Its description in RNAcentral is "SSU rRNA". It matches the Rfam family "Eukaryotic small subunit ribosomal RNA", at positions 35 to 598 of the family's 1831-position model. The record is from RNAcentral. Lineage: Eukaryota; Ciliophora; Litostomatea; Cyclotrichida; Mesodiniidae.